Molecule: long non-coding RNA, 915 nt
Organism: Humulus lupulus (European hop)
Lineage: Eukaryota; Viridiplantae; Streptophyta; Magnoliopsida; Rosales; Cannabaceae
Exons: 3
Source: RefSeq, a predicted model, not a curated record
AUAGGCUCGUGAAGUUUGUUCCAUUUUGCUUUGCUCGGACCUGGGGUAGGGAAGUCAGAUAGAAUUCUAUUUAUUUAUGCUAUGAAAUGGUAAGAUGGGUUCACUACACCAAAAAUCCCUUUUUGCAACACAUAAGUAUAACAGUAUUGCAAAAGUAUUAUAAUAGAUAAAAAAUACUAAAAUACCUAAAAUAUCUCAAAAAAAAAAAAAAAAAAAGGCGGCAAAUGAAUUAUUAUUCCCAAAAAAAAAAAAUCUCAAAUAAAAACCCUAUCUCUAAGCCCGUCUCCUCACUCACUCUUCCCCGAUCCCUCUCCUUCUCUCUCUCUCUCCUGCUCCCUCAACUACGACGGCGAGGGGAUAUACGAGGCUUCAACCACGGUGGAGGUCGACGGGGCUGACAGAGGCUCAGCGGGACUGCCGGAGGCUCGACGACGUGGACUCGGAGACUCGUUGGUGCAGGUAAAGAUCUCUCUCUCUCUCUCUCGUUCUGUUUUAUAGUCGACGUCGACUGGGUGGUGUGGGCUGGAGAUGGUGGUGCGACGGGGUGCCAUGGGUGUUCAAUUCCUGUCAAAUUGAAGGAGUGAAGUCCACUCGACUUCCCUCUUACGCCACUUUUCCCCAUGUUUUGGCUUCAAAUGGAGUGAACCCCUAGAGACCUUGAAGGAAACGGAAGCAAGAGCUCUACUAGGAAGACUUGAGUAUCAAAAGGGUAACAUAGAAGCUGCACUUCAUGUAUUUGAAGGAAUAGACAUUGCUGCAGUGACUCCUAGGAUGAAAGGAUCCAUUUCUAGAAGAUGUGAACAAAAUAGACGUCGUUCACAGAGUGAUUCUGUCCCACCUAUGUCCAUGCACGCUGUUAGUAUGCUCCUUGAAGCUGUUUUUCUCAAAGAAAAAUCAUUGCAAGGCCUUGGACGA